RNAcentral lists this long non-coding RNA (1148 nucleotides) under Malus domestica (apple). Its description in RNAcentral is "long non-coding RNA (MDOM_LNC011779)". The record is from RNAcentral. Lineage: Eukaryota; Viridiplantae; Streptophyta; Magnoliopsida; Rosales; Rosaceae.
CCAAGUAAAAUUGCGCUGAUGUUGCGUGUAUGAACAUAUGUUCUUGUGACAUUGAAAAUUAAGUAGAAAGUUCGGUAAUAAACUAUAUGUACUAUCUUUAUUGAUUAUUUAGUGUGUUAUUUUUGAACAAAAAUGAACUUGCGGUUAAAUUACAUUGAAUUGUUUGUUGAGAUGAUACAAAAAACGAAGCUCAACGUAUUUCAUAUGACAUAGUACAUACCUAACAUGCACAUAUGUACCUAAGUAUGAACAGGAUGGAAGAAACUAAGAAACCACUUGUGAGUGCCAUUGCCUGAUUCGAUAUACAGCUUAAAAUUGCUCAAAUACAGAAUAGAAUAAUGGAUAAAAUUUGCUUAUUAGAAUUGAGGGUUAUUGGAAGCUGGUCUCCUCAGAGAAAUGGGAGGAGCACGAGAUGAAGCAAGUGGUUUGCUUUGCUUUGCUUCUGGUGCAGCACUGAAGCAUAAUAAUUAAAUUCACAAAGCUAGGUAAUCAGCAGCAGUGUCCGAAAUGCCUUCCAAGCAGGCUCUCGUAAUCAUCAUAAUAUUUGGUUGCCCUUUUCAUAUAUUCCUACUGUCUCAUUUCGCACCCAGAGACAAGCUAUGUCUGUCACAUUGUCCACCCAACAACUAAUUUCCGCCUGUUUAAAGUGAAAGGCUCUGCAGAUCGAGAAGUUCUUCAGUAUGGCUGUCAUGGCUGUCGACCAUGCCACCCGUCUAGCAAAAAUGCACACAAUAGAACUCCUUGCAUUCGAGUUCCACACGAGCUCAUGUUGGUAGCACCAAAUGCAAGCUCACUUUAUGUGCGACUUAGACAGGCGGGUGGACAUGGCGCGGUAGCUCUACCCACGAAUUUCUCAUGCCAAUCUUACUCUCUCAUCGCCAUCUGCAACUGCAUGCCAUGUUGCCCUACUCUGCAUAUAUACAAAUAUCAUGACUCAGCAAAUUAAUUCAACUCCUUCCCUUUAACUAAUAAUUCUAAAAGAAAAAGGCAAGCAGGAAAAAAUGAACCGUGUUUUGAGAAAAUUAAACCCCACUUCACCAAACGUAACCCUAAUCUUACAUCAUUCGUAUUUCUGGUACGGGGGCAGUGACUCAGCGGUGACCUAAAGUAUGCAAUAAUAACCGGAGCAUGGUACAGGAAAGUCUAAC